GCGGACGGGUGAGUAACACGUGAGAAUUUACCUUUAGGAGGGGGAUAACAAUUGGAAACGAUUGCUAAUACCCCAUAUGCUUUCGAGUGAAAUAGAGUUAUCUGCCUAAAGAGAAGCUCGCGGCUGAUUAGCUUGUUGGUAAGGUAAUGGCUUACCAAGGCGACGAUCAGUAUCUGGUUUGAGAGGACGAUCAGACACAUUGGAACUGAGACACGGUCCAGACUCCUACGGGAGGCAGCAGUGGGGAAUUUUCCGCAAUGGGCGAAAGCCUGACGGAGCAAUACCGCGUGAGGGAAGACGGCCCAUGGGUUGUAAACCUCUUUUUUCAGUGAGGAAACAAAUGACGUGUAGCUGAAGAAUAAGCAUCGGCUAACUCCGUGCCAGCAGCCGCGGUAAGACGGAGGAUGCAAGUGUUAUCCGGAAUCACUGGGCGUAAAGCGUCUGUAGGUGGUUUAAUAAGUCAACUGUUAAAUCUUGAGGCUUAACUUCAAAACCGCAGUCGAAACUAUUAGACUAGAGUAUAGUA
RNAcentral lists this ribosomal RNA (526 nucleotides) under uncultured cyanobacterium. RNAcentral describes it as "bacterial SSU rRNA". It matches the Rfam family "Bacterial small subunit ribosomal RNA", at positions 98 to 653 of the family's 1533-position model. The record is from RNAcentral. Lineage: Bacteria; Bacillati; Cyanobacteriota.